GAACAGAUAAGGAGCUUGCUCCUUUGACGUUAGCGGCGGACGGGUGAGUAACACGUGGGUAACCUACCUAUAAGACUGGAAUAACUCCGGGAAACCGGGGCUAAUGCCGGAUAACAUAUAGAACCGCAUGGUUCUAUAGUGAAAGAUGGUUUUGCUAUCACUUAUAGAUGGACCCGCGCCGUAUUAGCUAGUUGGUAAGGUAAUGGCUUACCAAGGCGACGAUACGUAGCCGACCUGAGAGGGUGAUCGGCCACACUGGAACUGAGACACGGUCCAGACUCCUACGGGAGGCAGCAGUAGGGAAUCUUCCGCAAUGGGCGAAAGCCUGACGGAGCAACGCCGCGUGAGUGAUGAAGGGUUUCGGCUCGUAAAACUCUGUUAUUAGGGAAGAACAUAUGUGUAAGUAACUGUGCACAUCUUGACGGUACCUAAUCAGAAAGCCACGGCUAACUACGUGCCAGCAGCCGCGGUAAUACGUAGGUGGCAAGCGUUAUCCGGAAUUAUUGGGCGUAAAGCGCGCGUAGGCGGUUUCUUAAGUCUGAUGUGAAAGCCCACGGCUCAACCGUGGAGGGUCAUUGGAAACUGGGAAACUUGAGUGCAGAAGAGGAAAGUGGAAUUCCAUGUGUAGCGGUGAAAUGCGCAGAGAUAUGGAGGAACACCAGUGGCGAAGGCGACUUUCUGGUCUGUAACUGACGCUGAUGUGCGAAAGCGUGGGGAUCAAACAGGAUUAGAUACCCUGGUAGUCCACGCCGUAAACGAUGAGUGCUAAGUGUUAGGGGGUUUCCGCCCCUUAGUGCUGCAGCUAACGCAUUAAGCACUCCGCCUGGGGAGUACGACCGCAAGGUUGAAACUCAAAGGAAUUGACGGGGACCCGCACAAGCGG
This 883-nucleotide ribosomal RNA is filed under the name Staphylococcus gallinarum. Its description in RNAcentral is "bacterial SSU rRNA". It matches the Rfam family "Bacterial small subunit ribosomal RNA", at positions 68 to 932 of the family's 1533-position model. The record is from RNAcentral. Lineage: Bacteria; Bacillati; Bacillota; Bacilli; Caryophanales; Staphylococcaceae.